RNAcentral lists this non-coding RNA (31 nucleotides) under Mus musculus (house mouse). Lineage: Eukaryota; Metazoa; Chordata; Mammalia; Rodentia; Muridae. The record is from RNAcentral.
UGGAAGAACCAAGAGUCUACAUCUUGAUUCA